This is a long non-coding RNA of Homo sapiens (human), 7750 nucleotides long. The record is from Ensembl. NCBI's taxonomy places the organism in Eukaryota, Metazoa, Chordata, Mammalia, Primates, Hominidae.
GACUGAACCCAGGGUGUACUAGAGAGCUAAAAAUGGCCCAAGAGUUAUUCCUCAUUGAAAUUAAAUGGACAGGCAUUUAUACUUCUACCUUUAUCAUUCAAGGUAUGUGGGCUAUCCCUGGAAGAGGAUGAUCUUGAACCAGGUGACUUUGCAGCUGAGGUGAUCUCUGAAGGGGAUGAGAUAAAGAAUGUCUAUGAAGAGCUCUUCCAGCAGCUGGACAACAAGUGUGCUUUUGAAAGAUUAAAUGAAGCUGUAAGCAUCUUUGAAGUACAAAUGAUACUUGGAAAGUAAAUGAAACUGGGAAUACUUGCAAGUAAAAUAUGGGAAGUCAAAGAGAUUAAAGGAUGAGAACCAGAAAUUGCUUAUGGCCAGUGUCCUGAGUAAGCCUCAGAAUCGCAUCCUAGAAGCAUCAAGUUCUUGUGUUACCCUAUGGAUCUAAAAAACGACUUCCUUAGUUUGAUGUAGUCUGCAGACAUCUCAUCAUCACAAAAACUUGAAAGCACUUACAGCACUAAGAAACUACCUUUGCAGAUUGUAAAAAAAGAUAGAAUCCUACUUAGUGUUUUGAUCACACCUGCCUAUUUCCCCAAGGUUUUACUGCAGGGUUAAAGAAUGAAUAAGCAUCUAGUUAUAUUUAAUAAACUCCAUGCCUUAUGGCUGAUUCUAAAGGCACAUGGCUUUGUUACAUUCGCUUGAAGCUCUGCUUUAUUUUCUAAAAAUGGUUGCUUACAGUGGUCCCUUGCAGCCCAUGGUGAUAGUUUAUAGGGUGCUAUGUUAUUUUUGUUUACUUGAGUGGAUAUUUAUACACAUGCCUCUUUAGAUUCAGGUGUUUUCAUUUUUUUUGUCAGGAGUUUGGUAUCCAUAUGCAGAAAAAUGCUGAUGAGUCAUUGCAUUUAUCUAUUGCUUAGAGAGAUGAUGAUGGGUCAUAAACCCAGAUAUUUAAACAAACAACCAGAAUAGUUUGUUACUUUCAGGCAAGAUUCCUGAUCGUUUUGUUGUUGUUGUUGCUGUUGUUGUUUUUCCUGCAAUGAAAGAGGCAGCAGAAGGGAAUCAGAUAAAUAACCCUCUCACAUAUCGUAUUUACUUGUAAUAUUGUUAUGCCAUCAAGUAGAACAAAAAUCAAUAUAAUUGCUUUAUAUUUAUCAAGUACUCACUCUGUGCCAGUCUUCUAAAUGCUGUAUGUGAAUUAAUGCAUUUAAUUCUCAACACCACCCUGUGAAGUAUCUACUCAUAUUUCCUGAUUUUUCCGAUGAGAUACUGAAGCACACAGUGUAUAAUAACUUGCUUGACUUCACAGUUGGUAAGUGGUAAAUCUGAGACUCAUGCCUAGAAAGUUGCGUUCCAGAAUCCACAUGGUUAACCACCAUGCUAUAACAGUUGACAUAAGCUGAAACCUGGAAGAGUAGAAUGGUCAAUUCUCAGCUUAGAGCAAUUUGUGAGUACUGUCUGACCAAACCAAUUAUUACAAAAUUUAUCUGGUUUAUAGCAAUAAUAAAAUACAGGAAUUGGUUACUGUAAGAUCUGGUUCUGAAAAAAAGAAAGCAAGAAAGAAGCCAUACAAAUUAAGAGAAAAAGAUGUAAAAAGUGAUAAUAAAUAUUAUAUACAUAUACACUAAUUGUAUAUCAUAUACACUAAUUGUAUAUUAUAAAUUUUAAAUGAUUUGAUUUUUUAAAUUUCAACACCAAAUUAUUAAAGCAGAAUUAUUAAAAUAGUAGAAAAUAGCUAAUGAAAUAAUUAUAAAAAUAUGAAAAUACUGCAUGAAAAAGCCACAUCAUUACGUGUUCACUGGUGAAAUCUUUAGAAGUUAGAAGAAAAAUAUAAUUAGCAUAUUACAUUGUCCAUUUCAAAUCAUGAAAACAAUGUGAGAUUAACAAAUUCAUCAUAUACAGUUAAUAUCUCAACAUCAAACUUGAUAAUUUAAUUAAAAUAGGAAACUUUAUACUGAUUUCAUACAUGUACAUAAUAAAACAUUCAGAUAGAAAUACUAACAACUAGAAUUAAACAUGAUGCAACACUACAGAAAGGGUUUGAUUCAAGAAUGCAAGUUACUAAAUCAAUAAAAAAUUAUUUUAUCAAUGAAAUAUAUGCUCAAAUGAGUACCUUAAAAGACCCAUCUCAAGUUUUAAAAUUGAGUUUAAUAGCAUUAGAAUGAUUUUUCUUUAUUAAAAUAUUUGAGAUAAAAUUUUUAUUUUGUUAUUUUUGCAAAUGUAUGGGAUACAUAAGAAUUUUUUUAUAUGCAUAUAAUGCUUUGUGAUAAGUCAUAUUUAGGGUGUCCAUCAUCCAAGCACAAUACAUUUUAAAGUAUAGUUAUCCUACUCUGCUAUCAAACAUUGAAUUUAAUCCUUCUAACUUACUGCAUAUUUGUACCCUUUAAUCUAUUUCUUCAUCGUCUCUGUCAGCCUUCAUUCUCCCCAAUCUGUGUUACCUAUUUUUCCACUCUCUACCUCCACAUCUUCAAAUAUUUUAGCUUCCACAUAUAAAUGAGAAUGUGAUAUUUGUCUUUUUGUGCCUGGCUUAUGAAAUCAAAAUUUUAAAACUUUGUCUUUAUAUUGAGAAAUGAUUAUAUGAUUUCUGCUUCACCAUUAUUAUUUAAUAUAAUUUAGAAAUUUUGUUCUCAUCAAUGAUAGAAGCCAGAAAUUAAAUUAGAAGUAAUAAAUGGUGGAAAGGGAGAGAUAAUCAUAUUAUAGGGAGAUGACAUUUUAUCCCUAGGAACCUAAAAAAAGUCAGCCAGAAAUGAGCUUGAAUUUAGUGACAUUGUAGAUAAUUUUAUAAAAGUCAAUCUGCCAGCAAUACUAGAUAGGAAUGAAAAUGAGCCAUAGAGAGUGGACAAGUAGAGAUGUGAGAAAUCCACAUUCUCUUGUAAUGGUUAGCACAGGCUUCCUGCAGGAUAUUGUCCUUGAACUGAAAGUUGAAUGGAAAAAGUAAUACGCUUCUUGAACCAAAAAAGGAAGACAUGCUUAGUAAGAGGGAAAACAAGUCAAACUGGCCAUUCGACUGGAUCUCUCUUUUCUUACUAUUGAAUUUUUUGGAGGUUUUGGUAACACUGCUCUCCUUUCUCUGACUUUCCUGUAGCAUUCUCUUCUGUUUAUUUUACACAUGAUACAUUCUAUCAAGUUCUGCACAGCACUCCUAUCUUAAUACUGUUGAACUUUAUAUUCAAUUAUUUGGAAUUAAUAAAUAGAUCUGUUAUUUUGUAAUUAAGUACAAAUGAGACACUGUACAUUUCUCUAAAUGUAACUCAAAGUUUUACAUUUUCUUCACUUUUAUGAGAGUCCUAGAUGAAUAAAUGAUAGUCUAUACUAUGAAUAAACAGGGCCUAGUUAUUCUUAGAAUAGUUUCAAUUUAAUUCUGUUACCACUCAUGGGUAAAAAUGCCUUCAUUUUUUUUUCUUUCCUGUUUUUGACACAGAGUUAAGGAUGAAUGAAUUGAAGAUACCUAAUAAUUAUUGUUUCUAUUUUUCCUACUUCAUAUAUUUAAAUCAGGUGAUACACCAAGUAACAUUAUUUUUCUCCCAUCUCUUUCAGGCAUAGAACAAUUUCUAAAGUAACAGUAAACGCUAAUGUUUAAAAUAAAUUGUGUGUGUGUGUGUGUGUGCAUGCACAUAUGUUUUAGCCAAGUAAGUGAACUGCAACCUGACUCAAUUCCAAAAAGAUUGUUUUGGAAACCAUUAAAAGAAAUCCAAGUACCAAGGAAGGCCUUCAACAUGGUCACAAGUCUCUAUCACUACUGUAUUUAUGUGGGGCCAAAUAGUGGGUGUUAUGGAGUAAAAAUUUUCUUUCCCCCUAAAUUCAUAUGUUGAAGGUCAAAACCCCAGUGUGACUAUUGAGAGAUAGGGCCUGUGAGGAGGUGAUAAAGGUUUAAUUAAGUGAGGCUCCAAUCCAACAGGGCUGGUGCCCUUAAAAGAGGAGAAAGAGACACUAGAGUGAUCGCUCUUGACCAUGUGAAGACACAGCAAACAGGUGGCAUGUGCAAGUCAGGAGGAGAGCCCUCACCAGAAACGAAAUCAGUGGACACCUUGACCCAUGAGCCACCAGAACUGUGAGAAAUAAACAUCUGCUGUUUAAGCCACCUCAUGUAUGAUAUUCGGUUAUGGCAUCCCAAGAAAACUAGUACAGUGGGAUAUUUUAAAACUCAGCUCUUUUAGGAAACACUGAACAAUUAAAAAGACAAAAGAGUAUGUGUCACACAAUAAUACUGUAUGUAUCCCAUACUAAGGUCCUAAGGGGACACAUAACUAUGUCUUUCAAGAAAAACCCCACCUACCAACUCAGUGAGUAGACAUGGACCCACUAAUAAAUAGAGCAGAGAUUUAAGAGAGGAUAGGGCUUAAGCUCUAAUGAAGAGUCACAAAGAUCACAAAUCCAGAAACAUUUUCACUUCUAAAUGGUUUACUGUUCCUUAAUUUGAAUUUUCAGUCCACAUAGACACAGCAUAUUAAAAUUAUGCACAACACACAUGCACCUACGUAGAGAAAGAAAAAGAGGGAGAGAAAGAAUAUAUGUGAUUGGACUUUUGGGAGAAUACACUUUGUGUCAAGCAUUGUACCUAUCAUCAAACAAAUACUAUAAGGAGGCAUCAUCCCUAUUUUUGAAGAUGAUAAACUGAGACACAAAGAUAUAACUUGAACAUGAUUCCACUAUUAUUUGUGAACUAAAUAACAACAAUUCAUUUUCAGUUAGAACAUGGAAGCCCACAACAAUAAAAAUGAACCAUUUAUGAACCUCACAUCACAAAGAUCCAUAUCUCCAGAGGUUCUGAAGGAUACAUUUGGAUAAGCGGUGGAUUAUUCCAAAUGAACUUUCUUAUAAGGCUUCAUCUGACAUUUGUAAUUAUUAGUAGUCACAAUUAUGAAAAAAUUGGCUUACAGGCUUUAAAAAAUUUUUUUAAAUUAGGAAGGGAUCAUCUCACUGAGUUACCCAGAACAAAGUGAAAAUUUGUUUGAUUGUAUUGUGUAUGGAUACCAAACAAAAUUGCCUGAUUGUAUUGUAUAUAGAACUGGAAAACAUGCCAGGAAUGGAGGCAUUUAUGAACAAGCUACUUGUGUGCCUCUCUCUCAUUCCUGGUGUGUGCUUAUGGCAACUCAGCUUAUUUUUGGAUCUGCUCACGAUUUCUGCUUCUUUACAACAUUUGCUCUCUGUGACCCCACAUAGUCCCCAUUGUAUCCCAACCCUCUCAAAAUAGUUUUCCAGCUUUAUCUUCGAAUACAAAUUGCCUCAUUAUCUUGAUAUUUGCUAGAUCAAAUUUAAACAUCAAGGAGAGUAUGAUUAGACUAUUUGAGCUUUUUUUGUAUUAUGUCAUAUCGUAGGACUCUGCCUAUCUUAUGCAUCAGCCACCUUCAAAUUAUGUAGCUUCUAAUCAACGGUGGUCAGAAAGGAGAGGGCUAGUGGGGAAAACAAAAGCCUAAUGAUAGUUAUGUCUUAACCUGGGUUUGUAACUAUUCAUUCUGUUAUUUGUUCAACAACAUUUAUUAGGUGCCUACUAUGUUUCAGACAUUGUUCCAGGCUCUGAGUUACACCUGCGGUCAAAAUGGACAAAAUCUUGAUCCAGUUGAGGUGAAAUUGAAGAAGGGAGAAAUGCACAGCAAAGAAAUGGAUACAUAAAUAUUCAGUGUCUCAGGAGGUAAUAGGUCUUCUGGGAGAAAUACAAAGCAGGAUAUAACGGAAAUGUGAUAGGGCUGCUAUUAAUACUAUUGCUAAAUUAAUUAGAGAAGACUUCUCUGAUAAGGUGAUAUUUGAAAAGAUGCAUUAAGGUUGAGAUGGAGGAAGCCAUAUAACUAUCUGGGAGAAUGGUGUUCUAGGUGUCCUGUGAUGUCAGCACGCUUUGGAAAGUUUGGGGAACAGCCAAGGAUGACAAUGUUACUGUAGCAGAGAGCAGCAGGAGAAUGAUAAAAAAUGAGGUCUAUAAGGGAGUGAAAUUUUAGGCCACAGAAAGGACUUUGAAUCUUACUUUUUUAGUUGAAAAUUCGUUUGAGCAUUUGAGCAAAGUAGUGAUAUCAACUGAUUUAUGUUUUUAAGGAAACAUUAUGAGGGCUGGCUGUGGAAUAUUUAGUAAAAUGACAAGAAUGAGAAGAGGGAAUUUCUCUUUAAAGUAGCUGUGGAUAAUGCAGGCAAAAUGAUUGAUGUCUAUUUCAAUUACACAGAUAGUUUGAAUGAUUGACUCCAGCAUACAAAGUAAAACAAUCUACUGUAUUUAGUAUUUAUAGUGUAAACAAAAUACUCUCCGAUUUUUUAGUAAUUCAUAUUUUAGGAGGAUAUUAAUAAUAACCAUAAAUAUUUAUAUUCAUGGAGAGUGUUUCUUAUAUUCUUAUGAAGCUCAAAAUUUACUAUCAUCAGUUAGUUCCUUUUACUAAUGCAUUAUGAAGAGUUCUGUGUGCACUCCCAGUAUGACCUAUUCAUUUCAUACUCAUUAAGAAAUUAAUGUUUUUCAAGCAAAUGUUACAAAUGAAUGUUUAAUUUAGUGGCAAUUAAGAAUGUAUAUUUACAGAACAUUUCUUAUUAAUUAACACAUGGCUAAACAUAGAAAAGUUUGACCUUCCACUGUAACUACUCACCUGACUCUGCAUUAUUUUCAAAACCACCGGAACUUGAUCCGACCUGGUCAUGUCUCCCUCUGCAAACACAUUCCUUCCUAAUGAGGUCCUACUCCCCAGGUGGUAUGCAGCAAAUUCAGUUCUUUGCAUUUUUCUGUACAGUCCAACACUUAAACAUCCAGCUGAUUCUGAGGAAGGCUUAAUAUCCAGAAGCAAUUCUGAUAAGCAGCUGUUAUAAAAUGCCUUCCCAUUCCUAUUUGAAAUGAGCAAAAUGAGGGACUUACCUCAAAAUCAGGUCUUUAGUACAAACAGUACAUGUUUAGAUGUACACAUGAGUGCUAGCCCUCAGAAUCACAAAUUAGAGGAAAAACUCCAUAUUUAUUUUACUAGCUUUUUCCCGCUUUUUUUCCUCCUUGGGCUUUUCUUCUCAUUAAAAGGCAAGAUUGACAUCAAAUAGUAGCAAACUAUGUUGUAAAAUUUUUACCAAACCAGUCAACUAGUUUCUGAAUGCGUGUGUUCAUCAAAGACUGGGGGAAUAAAACAGGUCACAGCCUGCUAUUGGAAGCUUAGCGAAAUCAUCUGUGUUCUUCUUCCUCAUCAUAAUUCCCCAAAGAAAAGAUUAUAAACAUAUUCUGCUCAUGUUAUACUUAAUCAAACAUUAAUUAAAUACAAUACCUAAGGCUCUGAGUCCCAACUGUAGACCAUAAUGGUUUUACAGUUCACUUCAACUCUUUAGGAUAAAUAGCCUGCCAUUAAAGGCACUAGCUGUGCUUACAAUUUUUUUUUAAAUUGUAGUCAUUUUGCUAAUUAUAGAGUCACGGAGAAAUAAGAGAUAGUUUUGUCUACUACUUUGUCAUCACUAAACAAUGUUUUCUGGGAUUUUGAAAUUGGUAUUUUGUUUGUUAUGCAUUAGCCAUGGAUAAGAGAAUUAAUAGGACCAUAGUUAUUUUCUCAUGAAUGUUAUGCAUUAAUGUUUUGAAAAGGUUAUUUGAGGAUGGGUACUUAAGAUUGUUAGAACUAGUAAGCAAUUAAUCAUUGCAGAUUUAUGCCAUAAUGUACUUAAGUAACAACAAGCUUUUUUUUUCUUAAAUGUUAAUUAAGUAUCCUCUCAAUUUAUACAACUCUACGAUGUUUCUAUACCACUCAUAUGGCCCAACUUGUAUUUAGGCUUACAACUAUUUUUUAUGAGAAUGAGUAAUGAUUUACAUCUUUUAUUUGUC